UACGAAGGGUGCGAGCGUUAUUCGGAAUCACUGGGCGUAAAGGGUGCGUAGACGGUAUGUUAAGUUCGUUGUUAAAGCCUCCGGCCUAACCGGAGUAUUGCGAUGAAAACUGGCAAGCUAGAGUGUGAGAGAGAGAAGUGGAAUUCCCGGAGUAGCGGUAAAAUGCGUGGAUAUCGGGAGGAACACCAAUGGCGAAGGCAGCUUCUUGGGUCAUUCCUGACGUUGAGGCACUAAAGCGUGGGGAGCAAACAGG
RNAcentral lists this ribosomal RNA (253 nucleotides) under uncultured bacterium. Its description in RNAcentral is "partial 16S ribosomal RNA". It matches the Rfam family "Bacterial small subunit ribosomal RNA", at positions 524 to 776 of the family's 1533-position model. The record is from RNAcentral.